RNAcentral lists this ribosomal RNA (468 nucleotides) under uncultured bacterium. RNAcentral's name for it is "partial 16S ribosomal RNA". It matches the Rfam family "Bacterial small subunit ribosomal RNA", at positions 28 to 507 of the family's 1533-position model. The record is from RNAcentral.
GACGAACGCUGGCGGCGUGCUUAACACAUGCAAGUCGAACGGAAAGGCCCUGCUGUUUUGGGGUGCUCGAGUGGCGAACGGGUGAGUAACACGUGAGUAACCUGCUCUUCACUUGUGGAUAACUUCAGGAAACUGGGUCUAAUACCGGAUCGUGGCCCCUGCUGCGGGGUGGGGGUUGGAUACGUUCGGCGGUUGGUGAUGUGCGCGCGGCUUAUCUGCUUGUGGGUGGGGGAGUGGUUUACCAAGGCUUUGACGGGUAGCCGUCCUGAGAGGGUGGACAGGCACAUGGGGACUAAGGUAGGGACCAGAAGGGAACGGGAGACAGUGGUGGGGAGUAUUGCCCAAUGAGGGGACGUGUGAGAAGACAACGCUGCGGGCGGAAAGACGGCCUGCGGGUUAAAAACAGCUUUCGCCUGUGACGACGCGUGAGUGACGGUAAUGGGAAAAGAAGCACCGGCUAACUACGUG